GAGGAUUAAGCAAAUAGCUAAAAAAAGAAACAAAAGUGUAAUUAAUUGAAUAAAAGGGUAAGUGAAAUAAAGAAAUAAGGAAGGGGGUAACCCCACUCGGGUUCUUUGACCCUCAAAUUAGAAAGGGGAUUUCAAUCCCUAGCCUCCCUUCUUCUUCACUCCUUCGACAGCGACGGUGACGGUUUGUGGCGGGUUGCGGUAGUUCGCGAUGGCUGAGAUUGUGCCGUUCUCGGUGGCUUAUGGUGGUUCAGUUCUCACUCCCGGUGGCUUAUGGUGGUUCGAUUGGUGAAAGCGGAAUCAUGGUGGGGGACACCAAUUGUCACGGUGGCUUGAGGCAAAGGAUAAUCAUCCUCCUCAAUCUCUUUAUUUUUUAUCACUCAUCUUCUUUUACUUCGUUUCAUCGUUUCUCCUCACCAAUGUUCACGGUGGUCACCGAAUAUUAGGAAAAUAUUGUCCCUUUCGGUGUUGGAACAAACCCAACCGUGAGUUUAGUUACAUUCAGAACAUGGACUCGUUCCAAAUUAGUUCUCGGUUAUGGAUUUCCAAAAAUUUGGAUCUCUUUCUUACAUUUUUGCUUAAUGGUGUAUUGAUCCCUAUACCUAUAUUCUUCUUCUCUGUAAGUUGUAAUUGGGUUGGCACCCCUUGUGCCAGUUUGAAUAUAUUUUGUUUAUCAAAAAAAAACAUUGUGAACUAAAUUCAUCGUAUGUGUUUUCUGUUGUAACUACCUAAUCCAUUUGACGCUUAUAUAUCUAUCAUGUACAAAAUGUUUUCAUAUUUUUUGUAUUAUCAAUAAC
RNAcentral lists this long non-coding RNA (794 nucleotides) under Lupinus angustifolius (narrow-leaved blue lupine). RNAcentral describes it as "long non-coding RNA (LANG_LNC002128)". The record is from RNAcentral. Lineage: Eukaryota; Viridiplantae; Streptophyta; Magnoliopsida; Fabales; Fabaceae.